This 547-nucleotide ribosomal RNA is filed under the name Wickerhamomyces sp. RNAcentral describes it as "eukaryotic LSU rRNA". It matches the Rfam family "Eukaryotic large subunit ribosomal RNA", at positions 103 to 662 of the family's 3401-position model. Lineage: Eukaryota; Fungi; Ascomycota; Saccharomycetes; Phaffomycetales; Wickerhamomycetaceae. The record is from RNAcentral.
AAAAGCUCAAAUUUGAAAUCUAGCACCUUCGGUGUUCGAGUUGUAAUUUGAAGAUGGUAACCUUGGGUUUGGCUCUUGUCUAUGUUCCUUGGAACAGGACGUCAUAGAGGGUGAGAAUCCCGUCUGAUGAGAUGCCCAUUCCUAUGUAAGGUGCUAUCGAAGAGUCGAGUUGUUUGGGAAUGCAGCUCUUAAGUGGGUGGUAAAUUCCAUCUAAAGCUAAAUAUUGGCGAGAGACCGAUAGCGAACAAGUACAGUGAUGGAAAGAUGAAAAGAACUUUGAAAAGAGAGUGAAAAAGUACGUGAAAUUGUUGAAAGGGAAGGGCAUUAGAUCAGACUUGGUGUUUUACGAUUAUCUUCUCUUCUUGAGCUGUGCACUCGUAUUUCACUGGGCCAGCAUCGAUUCGGAUGGCAAGAUAAUGGCAGUUGAAUGUGGCUUCACUUCGGUGGAGUGUUAUAGCUUCUGCUGAUAUUGCCUGUCUGGAUCGAGGGCUGCGUCUUUUGACUAGGAUGCUGGCGUAAUGAUCUAAUGCCGCCCGUCUUUGCGCAG